Emys orbicularis (European pond turtle) is the source of this 3227-nucleotide long non-coding RNA. RefSeq lists it as uncharacterized. The transcript is spliced from 2 exons. NCBI's taxonomy places the organism in Eukaryota, Metazoa, Chordata, Testudines, Emydidae. The record is from RefSeq and is a predicted model, not a curated record.
GGCCCGAGGUGGAUGCCCUAGCUGGCCGGAGCUGCCCCGAGCUCAUUACGAGGAGGAGCCGCCGGAGCCCGUCCGCUCCCGUCGCUGGGAGGCACCCCUGGAACUCCCCCACAGCAACCCCGAAGGGGAGGCCCCGCCAGAACCCUUGCAGCCCUGCUGUUAUCCGGAGGAGCCGCCCGAGGGCCAGUGGCCGGAUUUCCCUACAGAGCUACCGGAUCUGCCACCAAGCCCCGGCCAAGAGGAGGCUCCACUGAUGGACUGGACCGCACCCGGUGCCACAGACGAGGUAAAGAAGCACUACUCAAAGACGGUAGCAGCCCUGCCAUUCAUUGAAACCAGGAGACUGAGUCUACGUAAAGUCCAUCAACAAAAGACUGCUUUGACUCCAUGCUGGAAAGGCCCUUUCCAAGUCCUGUUAACCACCAACACUGCUGUGAAGUGGCAAGGACUGCCUACCUGGACCCAUGCUUCUCACUGCAAAAAGACCCCCUCCACCUCGGGAGGACUCUCCGACUCAUGAUCAGCCUAUUCCUCCUUCUAGCUCUGCUGUGCCUUCUGGACAGCAGGAAAAAGAAAAAAAGAAAAAAAGACAAGGUGAAGUGCUAGUAACUCUCCCUUGUCCACUGACAGACCUACUGUGCCUUUGGAUUUUUCUAAAAGAAGCAAAACCAUUACAGGGUGAUGUGCUAGUAACCUCUCCCCUGUAUGAUGCUGAACCACACUGUUUCAGAAAAAGAGAAGAAGGAACACUCGCUCCAUUGAAACCACCAAAGUCCAGGGAUUCCUGACUACAAAAAACCAUUAAGAACUGACCCUGGUGAAGCAACAAAGAAUUAUACACUGGCAGGAAGAAACUUGUGGGACCCAUGCUUAGGAAUGUGGUUUUGAUUGGAUUUGGGGGUUUAUUCUACAGGCUGUGCCCUGUGUUUUGGAUAAGUCCUUCAGCAUGUAUUACCCUCCCUAAUUGGAUUUUAAAUGACAAGUACCAAAGGCACCUUGUUGCCACUGCCCCUGCCAUCUCCUCCAUUACACUGUUACCCCUGUAACACAUCCAAAUACAGACAAUGCCAUAUAUCUGAUAAAACCAACGGCCAAGGCCUUCACACUUUAGUGAUUUAUUUAAAUAUUGUUUGCAAAAAAAAUAUUUUUAAGGUUCAGGAUAUCCCAUAUAAGCGAACAAUUGAAUGGAAAAGAAUGGAUCAGUGGAGAUAAAAAUACAUGAUAUCACUACAAGUGAACCCCAAGAAUUUGUAAUUGAAAUUAAUGGGUUCUAUAGUGAAGUAGAUAUGAUGGUUGUUCCUGGAAUUUGCACUGUGUUAAAUGAGAGAGGCCCUUAUUGGUAUUUGGUCACCCAAUUAGUAAAUAAUCAAACGACUACCCAAAGAGUUUGUUCUGCCACUGAAAAUUUUACCUGCAUAGAAAUUAUUCCAGUGACUUAUUAGAAUUAUUCCAAUAAUGUUACCUGUACCUUAUUGCAAUACACCCCUUCUUAUGCCAUUAAUAUCAAUGCCUCCCGGAAAUACAUAAAGGUGUUCAACCAACAGAUGUGGUAUAGUACUACACCAAAGAGAGAUGUAUUAGGAUAUCAAUGGACUGUGUGAUUAACACUACACUAGGGACUGUUAAAUUUUCAUUGCCCUUAUCCAGUUUCCAGAUAACCUCUACAUACCCAAAUUGUUCAAAAGGGGCUGCUAUUAGAUUUUAGCACAACAGAGGGCUUGGGCUAUUUCCUCUAGAAAGAAGAGAGACUUGACCGGAUCCCUAUGGGAUGGGGCCAAUAGUACAGCAGCAGUUUGAAAUAUUUUUAAGAACCAAAAACAUGAUACGAAAUUGGGGCAAUUAAAGAAGGCCACAAGCCUUAUUUCUGGGGCACAGCUAACCCAGGUACAGGCUGGAAUUGGUGAGUUACAUGUUAUCUCCACCCUUAGUUCUAUGACCCAGAAGUUGCUGACAGAGAUGGUAUUGAAUAUCACUGAGGCUGGGAAGGCAUUGCAGUGGGAUCUAGCACGUUCAGGCUUGGCCCACUGCCCUUACAGACACAUCAGGAGUACCAUCUGAUCUGUGGCCAUGGAGACAUACUUGGAGACUUUCUGGGUGGAAGUGCGGACGUUCUCAAUGCUCCUUCCAAGCAUAUGGACCGGUUAGGGGGGGUGUGGGCUCCCACAUACCGAAUCCUGCCGGGUCCAUGGGGAGGAUGCAUGUGGGAUUGGGUAAUUCACCGAGACGUCUGGGAAAUUAGACUACCGCCGAUGCCCUGGUGGACUUGGCAACCGCACAGAGAAAACUAAGGCAGAUGGUUCUCCAGAACCGCUUGGCUCUAGAUAUCUUACUGGCCUCUCAGGGAGGAACAUGUGCACUAAUUGGGCAAGAAUGCUGCGUAUAUGUUCCUGAUGUUUAUAACGCCACCUGGGACAGAGCAAACCACCUCAUACAAGUAGCAAAGGACCAUGGAGGGGAGCGGGUUGAAUCCUGGUGGAGUAACCUGUUCAGUUGGAUUCCAAACAUAGGUGGUUGGCUCCAUAAUGUACUCCAAAGCGCCGUUGUAAUUAUAUGUGGCCUGCUAGCUUUGUAUGUUAUGAUAAAGGUUGGAUGUUGGAUGGGCACCAAGCUGUGUUCCGUCCAAAAGUAAUCAACUCCAAGCUCACCACUCAUAGCAGCUAGUUGUCACAGGAGUCCCUCCAAGGCACUCCAGGGACAAAGGGGGGAUUGUUAGGCCCAAAAAUAUGGAGUAUAGAACAUUGUUUGGCCAGCUUAGCCAAAGUUAGGCUAACAGUAGUUGCUGGGCCAUUCCUGUCUCUCUGUGAAACCUGAGGACAUGCUUGCUUGAGCUGCAGAGAAUGAGGUAAGGGCGGGGGGGGGGCGUAUUCUUGUACCAGAAGUGCUAGGAACAGUUUGUUUGGACAUAUGGAAACUUGCAGUCUCCACUCCCUGUUUCUGUUCUUCAUCUGUUCUUAAUUCCCUCCUUUCUCCUAGUUUCUGGUGCAUGACAACAAAGCUCAUAAGAAGUUGCUGAGGCAUCACGAAUUGUUUGUAGUGUCAAAGAAGAUAGAUAUGCAUGAAUAUUAGAAGCUUUCUAACUAAUAAAGGGGGGUUGGGUUGUUUUAACUAUGACGCGACGAAACUGUCUAUAUAACCCUAUUAGUUGUUAAAACCGUGGCUGGUUCUCUCUGGAGACGGGCCGCUCUCUAUUGUAGUGUGCACUCCUCAAUAAAGAGCUUGUUACUGGA